CUUCUUCAAUUUGUUGAGGACAAAUAAAGUGAAUAUGGGAGUCAAUGCCACCAGCGGUCAAUAUUGAACCUUCUCCCGCUAACACUUCGGUACCGGGACCAACGAUGAUAUCAACACCAGGCUGUAUGUCCGGGUUUCCCGCUUUGCCUAGUGCUUGAAUACGCCCAUUUUUCACUGCGACGUCUGCUUUGAUAAUGCCCCAGUAAUCAAGAAUCAAUGCGUUGGUAAUAACAAGGUCUGGUGUUUCCGCGCUUGGACGCUGACUUUGUCCCAUCCCGUCACGAAUG
Molecule: small RNA, 287 nt
Filed under: Vibrio maritimus
Lineage: Bacteria; Pseudomonadati; Pseudomonadota; Gammaproteobacteria; Vibrionales; Vibrionaceae
Description: Vibrio sp. R-40493 5' ureB small RNA
Rfam family: 5' ureB small RNA
Source: Rfam by way of RNAcentral